Long non-coding RNA from Rattus norvegicus (Norway rat), 1142 nucleotides. The record is from Ensembl. Lineage: Eukaryota; Metazoa; Chordata; Mammalia; Rodentia; Muridae.
UCUGCAGUGAAACCCUCACAGGGAGGUUUCUCUUUGUCAAGGUAGAGGAUUGGUAGGUUCACAUCUCCCUUCAGCUCCUUAUGGGGAUGGAGGGCUUCCUUAUGAGCACUUGAUACAAUCUCAGCCCCCUUUGUGCACACAGUGUAUCCAGGUAGCUACAGGCUUGAAGCACUUGCGUGACUAAGCUCCUAUACAGUUCUUCACCAUGACCCUGAGGAAGGAGCCCUGAGGCAGGAUCCUAUCUGGCAACUUAUCCAGGAGUGCCCGAGGCUGUUUUGAGCGGCUGUCACUCAUCCAGCCCCUAAGCAGAGACAGGAAAAUGGCGGCUUUCCUGUUUUGAGACACCUCUCCUCCUAGAAGAAAGCCAUGAAGUUCAUUCCAGGGGUCUCCAUCAAGGGUCUCCAGGUUGGCUUCUCAUGAGAGUUCCAGGAACAGGACCCAGAAACUUCUCUUUGUCUGUGCCCUGGAGACCCUCUACUCCUGGAGCAGAGCAGAGUUGUGGCCUUUUCCAUUCUGGAAAAAAAGAAAGUGAACUGCCGUCCAGGUUGUGGUGGUGCACACCUUGAAUCCCAGGACUCAGGAGGUGGAGGCAGGUACAUCUUUGUGGGUUCGAGGCCUGCCUGGUCUACAGAGUGACUUCCAGGACAGCCAGGGCUACACAGAGAGACCCUGUCUCAAAAACAAAACAAAAAGAUGAGAAUGAGAUGCCUAGUGGAGACUCCUCCCUCCAGGGCGGGCGCAUCCAAACCCUGUGCUACAGACAAACCCCAGACCUGGAUAUGCUAAGCACAGACUCUCCCACCAGCCCCACGGUGGAUCCAAACGUUUGGUAAUUCUGCCAGUGACGCCUUGCUUGCCACAAGGAGGAAGAGGAAAGAGUAAGAAAUGUGGCAGCGAAGAACCUGCAGCCUUGGGCAACACUAUGGCAACCAGUCCCUGCUUGCCUUGUGAGCCUCUCAGCUAAAUUGCAGAUAAGUGUAUGGGGAGGAGACACUUUACAGGCUCCAGCCAGAGUGGGGAGGAAGCCUGGAAAAGCCUGUGAAGGGCGCUCCCAACACUGGCAAAAUUACCAGCCAUGCAUUGCAAUUCCCAGCCUCUGCAACAGGCAAAUAACCAGUCUACGGUUCCCAGAUUGAUCAAAC